This 2010-nucleotide long non-coding RNA is filed under the name Pongo abelii (Sumatran orangutan). RNAcentral describes it as "lincRNA". The record is from RNAcentral. Lineage: Eukaryota; Metazoa; Chordata; Mammalia; Primates; Hominidae.
AUUGCUGAUUUGGUAACCACCUCAGAGCAUAUCCUAUUUAUUCCCAGCAUGGACCUAAAUCCACUUCAGCCAAAAAUGAACAAAGAAAUGAUGAAGAACAGAGCCUGUUUCUUUCUCAGUGGUGUACUCAGAAAAUAGGAUGCAAGAGUAGAAGCUGAUCCUCGAGGCUUGCAAAAGUGGGGUUCUUUCUGAAAGUGAAGCCAGCAACCAAGAGCCACCCUUCAGAAGAUAAAAGGAAGAGCAGCUGCUUGAGCAAUGGCCACAGCAAUGCAUGGGUCCUGUCUGUCCACGUAGUCCUGUCCAUCUGCCUGUAGCUUGCCAGGUCUCCUACCCACACUGGGGAAAUUCCAGCUGCCAGCCCUCUUUGGGUUGCACCUCCCCUUUUUGCACAGGGCUCUAUUGGGAAAGCAGCUGUCAUGUGUCUAUUUGAAAGACAAGAAACCAGUCUAGUUAUAGAAAAGAGAUUUAGAUUACAUCAGAAUAACAAUGCAAAUCAUUUGUGCAGUUCUUAGUACAGAAAACAGAUUUAGGAACAAAAAUUGGGAGGGUUAAAAAAAGUGGUUUUUUAUUCUGUCAUCAAAAUUGUUUUUUAAAAACAUCACAAAAAAACACAUCUGUAGUAAGAUAAAUAAUUGUGUGCUGACUUCAUAAACAGAAUGAAUGAUUGAAUUCACACAAUGUUAUUUACUGUUUCAGGGCACACACACGUGGUCUCCAAGUGGUUUCUUGCCGCUUUGGCCUUCAACUGGCUUUGCUAUUUUCCACUGAGGAGUGUCUGAUUGUCUCCACCACAGCCCUGAGUCUCAGCAAAAGCCCAUGGAUUGGUUGACUGGUGUUCUUGUUGUCCUUGGAAGUGGACAGACUGGCAGAUGUGGGGCUAGUGGGGAAGAUUCUCAUAAACACUUUAUUUGUUGUAAGAACUCCAGUUGGAAUGUGGCUUCCAAUCAUGGGAGGAGGACAGCUUUAGAACAGGAAACUUUCUAUAAUAAUACCAAUACAACCAAAGACUAUUAUUCUGAACAGAAAACAAGAAAUACAGCUGGAGCUAUUUCCUAUCUACCUGAUGAAGGGCACUACCAGGCGGUCACUCUGGCUCUGUCCACCAAUGCCUGUGCCCACUUUGUGCGACGUAGCUUCCAUGGAGACAAGAGCAAUGGUAAUGGAAGAAGAAAGUCUGGAUGUACUCGUGCAGAAACAGAAAGCUUCAUGGAACAAUAUUAAUCUUCUGGUCAUCUCUGUGCUGGUCUAGUUACCCAUAAAGUUGUCAGACUGACUUUGGAUUUAAAGUCUGAAAAUGAGUCCCAAGGAAAUCUGUUGACAUGAGGCCCAAGGAAGACAGUUUUUGGAAGGGGCAAAGUGGGACAGUUCUCUGCUCCAGUGAAGCUAGGUAUGGCCAUGUGACCCAUGUUGCCAGUGAAACAGGAAGAGAAGGGACAUCUGGGUGGAAACAUUUAAGAGUCAAGUGUAUUUCCCCAUACUCUCUUUCUUUGGCUUUGGCAGUGGUGAAGGUCAAUCCAAUUACAGUUGAUUCUUGAACAACAGAGGUUUGAACUGUGUGGGUCAACCUAUAUACAUGGAUUUUCUUCUGCCUCUGCCACCUCUGAGACAGCAAGACCAAUCCUUCCUUUUCCUCCUUCUUCUCAGCCUAUCCAAUGUAAAGAUGACAAAGAUGAAGACCUUUAUGAUGAUUCACGUCCACUUAAUGAACAACGUACCUUUCACCUCCCACCAUGAUUCUGAGGCCUCCCCAGCCAUGUGGAACUGUAAGUGCCAUUAAACCUCUUUUUAUUCCCAGUCUUGGGUAUGUCUGUAUCAGCAGUGUGAAAAUGGACUAAUACAGUAAAUUGGUACCAGUAGAGUGGGGCAUUGCUGAAAAGAUAUCUGAAAAUGUGGAAGCAACUUUGGAACUGGGUAACAGGCAGAGGUUGGAAGAGUUUGGAGGGCUCAGAAGAAGACAGGAAAAUGUGGGAAAGUUUGGAACUUCCUAGAGAUUUGUUGAAUGGCUUUGAC